This 435-nucleotide long non-coding RNA is filed under the name Selaginella moellendorffii. RNAcentral's name for it is "long non-coding RNA (SMOE_LNC000423)". The record is from RNAcentral. Lineage: Eukaryota; Viridiplantae; Streptophyta; Lycopodiopsida; Selaginellales; Selaginellaceae.
UCAAACCACUUCUCUCUAAUAUAACAAGCUUACUUCUCUAGCAGCAAAUCAUGGAGAACAAGGCUUUCUUCGUGUUGUUUUUGGCACUCGCCAUAUUUGUGAUGAUGCUGGCCAUGGGCGUGGACGUGGGAGGACUCGCAAAGGCUGCUGCCCAGCGCUGCCAGUCAGGAUGGUAUUGGUAUGACAACAGUUGCCACCGUUGCCAGAAGGGUAUGAGCUGGCGCAACAAUCGCUGCUCGCGCAACUGAAACCUCUCGUUUCACGGGGUAAGCCCAAGUUAAGAAUCAGCAUCAUAAUUGCCUUUGAUUUUAUCAUCCUGCAGUGGGUCUGGAAACAAGAAUAAAGACAAUGAUAACGUGUUUUCUGUAUCGUGCAAUGUUGCAUAGUAUUGCAUGAGUUCCAGCAAUAAAAUAUAAAUUGUCCAAGCCUUGAUAU